Molecule: long non-coding RNA, 488 nt
Filed under: Brassica napus (rape)
Lineage: Eukaryota; Viridiplantae; Streptophyta; Magnoliopsida; Brassicales; Brassicaceae
Description: long non-coding RNA (BNAP_LNC019264)
Source: RNAcentral
CAACAGACGAAGCCAACGAAGAUGAAUUUGAAGAAAAUGAUGAAGUGGAUGAUGUUUCUGAUGACGAGUGAUCGAGUUUGAUUAUGUUACAAUGUUUGUGUUUUAUUAUAUUAUUAAACUCUUUGUAUUGCAUUACAAAUAAUAUAUAACUUAUUAUCAUGUUUGCUCAACUAUAUAUGAACUUAGUUUAAAAAACAAUCUUUGUACUUUGGGGUUUAGAAGUGUAUAAAACUUAUGAUGUUUGGAGUUUGGGAUUUGGGGUUUCAGUUUUAGGGUAUAAACACAAAACGAAGCUAAUUAGUCGUAAAGUAUGACUCAGUUACGACUAAUCUUAAUUCUUCCCACAUUGGUCCCUAAUUGGUCGUAAAGGACUUCAUCCCACAUUGGUCGAAAUUUUAAUUCUUCUUUACGACUAUUAAUCCUUAUAUGGGCGUAAAUAAAAAAAUUAUUUAGUCCCUAAUUGGUCGUAAUAUUAUUUGGUCCCCCAU